Molecule: long non-coding RNA, 1886 nt
Organism: Physeter macrocephalus (sperm whale)
Lineage: Eukaryota; Metazoa; Chordata; Mammalia; Artiodactyla; Physeteridae
Source: Ensembl
CUCGCCAAGCUGCCGGGACCAUGUGCAGCUCAGGGAUGUUUUCUGACGGGUGGUCCUCGGCGCAGCAGGGGUCCGCCUCCGCGUGGGGCUCCAGGGCCCACAGGCUGGGGCCCAUGGCCCAGGGGUCAAUGCCAGGCACCUUGCUGCUGAGGAAGCCCUCCAGGAGGAAGGACUCCGGCAGACCCGCAGCCUCGUCACCCCACGGGUCCUCGUGGGACAGGCAGAGCGAGCCGGAGUCACUGAGGUCUGUGGGCAGGCGGGAGGGGGACAGGGUGACACCGCCCCCUGCCUGGCUGCUGGGCUCGGGCUGGGGAGGUGGCCUCGACUUUUUACAGCGCUUCCCAUAGACACGGGGGUUCUUCUUCCGAACCAAGCGGUCUCCCAGGGGGAAGAGCUGGGAAAAGGAGGCCUCAUCAUCAAACAAGCUCAGAGGGUCUCCGAGAUUCGGGCUGGGGGCUUCAGGAGCAGGGCCCUCCUGCUCCUGGACCCCCGCUCCUGGACCGUGCAGGGGGUCCUGGAGGCAACUGCUGAUGGUGCCGCCUGCUUCAGAACCACGAGUCUCGGGAGGGCCCUGGGGGUCCCGGGGGGGCUCGCGCCCCUCCCAGGCACCUUGCCCUGAUCUGCUCUCGGCCACUCUGCUGUCCCCUGCAGGUUUACCCCCAGCUGCCCUCGACGGCCCUUUGCAGAUGCCCGACAUCCUGGUCUCUCGGGGUCCCCCGCACCCUCUUGCCGAGGCUGCUUUCCGCCCCGCUGGCCCUUCUGGCCCAGGAGGUGCCCCCUCCACCAUCCCUGGACAGGCCACCCGAUCCCCAGGAGACUUCCGUGCAGGCCUCUGCUCCAGGUCCGUGGCGACGAGAGGCGGCUGCGUGGACUCACUCUCCCGCUCUGCCUCUGGGGAGAGGUGGCGGCUCGGGAGAGCCGGGCAGUUGGCGAUGGUAGUUGACGGAUUCCAGCCUCUUCUCCCUGAGGUCACAUCUGCAGGGCCCUGGAGACCGCUCUCCUCCCGGAACCUUCUCGCUCUUGGCUUUCUCGCCCUCUUGCUGGCUUUCCCCUCUGACUCGCUGGGGAAGUCUGCGGGCGGCCUGCCCCGCCUCUGGCCCCCGCCUUUCUUUGUCUGUCUGGAGAGGGGCUCAUCCCUCUCCAGCUGGUCCUGUUUGCUGGGCUCUGCAGGCCUCAUGUCCACCCCUUGCUUGACCGUGUCUGGGGGGUGCGGUUCCCAGCGAGGGGGACAGCCUGGUGCUCCCGGAAGGCUGAGCCCCCGCCUAAGCCCCUUGGACAUCUCGGGACCCAGGGCACCCUCGGGAGCCGCAGAGCCGCCAACAGGGGUUCGCUUACCGGCCUGGCUGGGGUCUCCCACCAGGCGCCUCGCUUUCUCCUUCCCCGGCGCCCUGCGGCUCUUCUUCCCGGCUGGGUGGCAUGUCUGGGGGGCAGGUGGGGCCGCUGGGCUUGGCUGGGAGGCAGUACCCCUGUGCAGCCCAUGCUUCCUGGCUCUGUGGCGGCUCAGGCCCGGCCCAGAGCGGAAGGAGGCCGAGCAGACCUCGCAGGUCACGGGCUGCCCGCUGGGGGCUCCGCCCUUCCAGUGGCCGUUCUCAGUGAACCCAGGCUUCUUUUUAAAGCCACGAGGCUUCUGUCUGGGGUCCUGGGGACUGAGGGGACCCCCCUGGGGUCUCUGGUGGAGGAUGUUUCCGAGGCUCUGGGGGGAGUGGGCUCUGGCGUCGCUGGCUGUGCCGCUCGGAGCCGUGGUUCUGCCUGGGUGGAGCUCUGUGGCAGGGCAGGUGGCCCUCAGACCCCUGGUGCCAGCUUCGGAUGCCUCUGUAACGGCAGGGCGCCCAGGCCCGGGCCUCUCUAGGCCCUCCUGUUCCUGGCGGCGGGCCUCUGCCUCGCCU